GAUGAAGAACGUAGCGAAAUGCGAUAAGUAAUGUGAAUUGCAGAGUUUUGUGAAUCAUCGAAUCUUUGAACGCACAUUGCGCCCCUCGGUAUUCCGACGGGCAUGCCUGUCCGAGCGUCGUUUGCAACCCAUCGAGUAACACUUCUCGGUCUUGGGCGCCGUCCCGACCCCCUCGCGGGGGGGACGCGCCCCAAAGCCCUCGGCGGCCCUUGGGCGCCCGCCGGAGCGUCUUCGAAAGCACUCGCUCCGCGCUGGCGCGCCCGGGACCGGCCGGCACCGCGGCCCCUCCGGCCGCGACCCCCCACCAAACGUUUGACCUCGAAUCAGGUAGGGCUACCCGCUGAACUUAAGCAUAUCAAUAAGCGGAGGA
Molecule: unclassified non-coding RNA, 370 nt
Filed under: soil metagenome
Description: partial contains 5.8S ribosomal RNA, internal transcribed spacer 2, and large subunit ribosomal RNA
Rfam family: 5.8S ribosomal RNA (bases 1-120)
Source: RNAcentral